The sequence is a ribosomal RNA, 121 nucleotides long. It matches the Rfam family "Bacterial large subunit ribosomal RNA", at positions 2815 to 2925 of the family's 2925-position model.
GGGCACAAGCCCCCUAAAGGAACCAUGUAGACUACGUGGUUGAUAGGUCAGGUGUGUAAGUACAGCAAUGUAUUGAGCUAACUGAUACUAAUGAUCCGUGCGGCUUGACCAUAUAACCUCA